GCCUAACAUCUAGCCCACACCACCCACAUGACCUCCUUAUCUCUAUACCCAUACAACAAAACAUUUUACCUCUUUAGUACAGGCGAUCGAAAAAUUUAUAGGCGCUUCAGAUCCAGUACCGCAAGGGAAAGAUGAAAUAAAAAUGAAAUAACUUUAAAGCCCUAAACAGCAGAGAUUUACCCUCGUACCUUUUGCAUCAUGGUCUAGCUAGUCUAACCAAGCAAAAUGUGAACUUUAGUUUGACACCCCGAAACUAAGUGAGCUACUUCAAAACAGCCCUAAGGGGCCAACCCGUCUCUGUCGCAAAAGAGUGGGAAGAUUUUCAAGUAGAGGUGACAAGCCUAUCGAACUUAGAGAUAGCUGGUUAUUCAGGAAAAGAGUCUCAGCUCUACCUUAAGUUUUUUUAUUAGCUCAAACAAAUUCUUAGACUUAAGAGCUACUCAAGUAAGGCUCAGCUUACUUGAAACAGGAUACAACCUCCAACAUUGGGUAAAUAAGGGAAACCCAGACAAAGUGGGCCUAAAAGCAGCCACCUUAUAAAAAGCGUUAAAGCUUAAUCACUAAUUUACCCCUAAUUCCUUAAUUUCUUAUUAACCCCUCACCCCUACUGAAUCAUUUUAUACUAUUAUAAAAAUUAUUAUGCUAGAACUAGUAACAAGAAAUUGCCUUUCUCCUAAAUGUCCGCCAGAACCGAAAUAAACCCUAUCGGUAUUUAACGUAAAUGCCUUAAUUAUAGCAACUCCCAACCAGAAAACCCUAUUAUUCUCAACGUCAACCUUACACCAGAACAUUAUAGGAAAGAUAAAAGAAAGAGAAGAACU
This 821-nucleotide ribosomal RNA is filed under the name Sanguirana sp. 'Negros-Panay'. Its description in RNAcentral is "partial 16S ribosomal RNA". The stretch from base 203 to 647 matches the Rfam family "Bacterial large subunit ribosomal RNA", at positions 619 to 1301 of the family's 2925-position model. The record is from RNAcentral. Lineage: Eukaryota; Metazoa; Chordata; Amphibia; Anura; Ranidae.